UACGUAGGGUGCGAGCGUUGUCCGGAAUUACUGGGCGUAAAGAGCUCGUAGGUGGUUUGUCGCGUUGUCCGUGAAAACUCACAGCUUAACUGUGGGCGUGCGGGCGAUACGGGCAGACUGGAGUACUGCAGGGGAGACUGGAAUUCCUGGUGUAGCGGUGGAAUGCGCAGAUAUCAGGAGGAACACCGGUGGCGAAGGCGGCUCUCUGGGCCUUACCUGACGCUGAGGAGCGAAAGCGUGGGUAGCGAACAGG
This 253-nucleotide ribosomal RNA is filed under the name uncultured bacterium. RNAcentral describes it as "partial 16S ribosomal RNA". It matches the Rfam family "Bacterial small subunit ribosomal RNA", at positions 524 to 776 of the family's 1533-position model. The record is from RNAcentral.